GACGAACCGUGCGAACGUUAUUCGGAAUCACUGGGCUUAAAGCGCGUGUAGGCGGGUCGCUGCGUCGGCUGCUGAAAUCCCCCGGCUCAACCGGGGAACGGGCACCGAUACGAGCGGCCUGGAGGGGGGUAGGGGGGUCUGGAACUUCCGGUGGAGCGGUGAAAUGCGUUGAGAUCGGAAGGAACGCCCGUGGCGAAAGCGAGGCCCUGGACCCUUUCUGACGCUGAGACGCGAAAGCCAGGGGAGCGAACGGG
RNAcentral lists this ribosomal RNA (254 nucleotides) under uncultured bacterium. RNAcentral describes it as "partial 16S ribosomal RNA". It matches the Rfam family "Bacterial small subunit ribosomal RNA", at positions 524 to 776 of the family's 1533-position model. The record is from RNAcentral.